CUAAGUGGUUUGCAGGCUAAACCCGUGACUCCUGUCACAACGCCUGCACUUGCACGUCCUGUGCA
Oceanobacillus oncorhynchi is the source of this 65-nucleotide small RNA. It matches the Rfam family "Bacillaceae-1 RNA". NCBI's taxonomy places the organism in Bacteria, Bacillati, Bacillota, Bacilli, Caryophanales, Bacillaceae. The record is from Rfam.